GCGCCUGUAGCUCAGUGGAUAGAGCAACCCUCUCCUAAAGGGUAGGCCGGAGGUUCGAAUCCUCUCAGGCGCA
This 73-nucleotide transfer RNA is filed under the name Isoptericola sediminis. It matches the Rfam family "tRNA". From Rfam's summary of the family: Transfer RNA (tRNA) molecules are approximately 80 nucleotides in length. Their secondary structure includes four short double-helical elements and three loops (D, anti-codon, and T loops). The record is from Rfam by way of RNAcentral. Lineage: Bacteria; Bacillati; Actinomycetota; Actinomycetes; Micrococcales; Promicromonosporaceae.